AAGUCUGAUGGAGCACGCCGCGUGAGUGAUGAAGGCUUUAGGGUCGUAAAACUCUGUUGUUGGAGAAGAACGUGUGUGAGAGUAACUGCUCAUGCAGUGACGGUAUCCAACCAGAAAGCCACGGCUAACUACGUGCCAGCAGCCGCGGUAAUACGUAGGUGGCAAGCGUUAUCCGGAUUUAUUGGGCGUAAAGCGAGCGCAGGCGGUUUCUUAAGUCUAAUGUGAAAGCCUUCGGCUUAACCGAAGAAGUGCAUUGGAAACUGGGAAACUUGAGUGCAGAAGAGGACAGUGGAACUCCAUGUGUAGCGGUGAAAUGCGUAGAUAUAUGGAAGAACACCAGUGGCGAAGGCGGCUGUCUGGUCUGUAACUGACGCUGAGGCUCGAAAGCAUGGGUAGCGAACAGGAUUAGAUACCCUGGUAGUCCAUGCCGUAAACGAUGAAUGCUAAGUGUUGGAGGGUUUCCGCCCUUCAGUGCUGCAGCUAACGCAUUAAGCAUUCCGCCUGGGGAGUACGACCGCAAGGUUGAAACUCAAAAGAAUUGACGGGGGCCCGCACAAGCGGUGGAGCAUGUGGUUUAAUUCGAAGCUACGCGAAGAACCUUACCAGGUCUUGACAUCUUCUGCUAACCUAAGAGAUUAGGCGUUCCCUUCGGGGACAGAAUGACAGGUGGUGCAUGGUUGUCGUCAGCUCGUGUCGUGAGAUGUUGGGUUAAGUCCCGCAACGAGCGCAACCCCUAUUAUUAGUUGCCAGCAUUAAGUUGGGCACUCUAGUGAGACUGCCGGUGAUAAACCGGAGGAAGGUGGGGACGACGUCAAAUCAUCAUGCCCCUUAUGACCUGGGCUACACACGUGCUACAAUGGACGGUACAACGAGUUGCGAGACCGCGAGGUUAAGCUAAUCUCUUAAAACCGUUCUCAGUUCGGACUGCAGGCUGCAACUCGCUG
This 944-nucleotide ribosomal RNA is filed under the name Pediococcus inopinatus. Its description in RNAcentral is "bacterial SSU rRNA". It matches the Rfam family "Bacterial small subunit ribosomal RNA", at positions 379 to 1318 of the family's 1533-position model. The record is from RNAcentral. Lineage: Bacteria; Bacillati; Bacillota; Bacilli; Lactobacillales; Lactobacillaceae.